UGAGAUACAGCGGUCGUUUGAUACU
RNAcentral lists this microRNA (25 nucleotides) under Caenorhabditis briggsae. RNAcentral describes it as "cbr-miR-7584". The record is from miRBase by way of RNAcentral. Lineage: Eukaryota; Metazoa; Nematoda; Chromadorea; Rhabditida; Rhabditidae.